ACUCAAAUGAAUAGACGGGGGCCUGCACAAGCGGUGGAGUAUGUGGCUCAAUUCGAUGCAACGCGAAGAACCUUACCUGGCCUUGACAUGUACGUAGUAGAAGGGUGAAAGCCUGACGAGGUAGCAAUACCAGCGUACACAGGUGCUGCAUGGCUGUCGUCAGCUCGUGUCGUGAGAUGUUGGGUUAAGUCCCGCAACGAGCGCAACCCUUGUGUCCUGUUGCCACUCCCGAGUAAUCGGGAAGCACUCUGGACAGACUGCCUCGCUUAAACGAGGAGGAAGGUGGGGAUGACGUCAAGUCAGUAUGGCCCUUACGGCCAGGGCUGCACACGUACUACAAUGCCCGGCACAAAGGGAAGCAAGACCGCAAGGUGGAGCAAAUCCCCAAAAACCGGGCCCAGUUCAGAUUGUCGUCUGCAACUCGACGACAUGAAGUUGGAAUCGCUAGUAAUGGCGCAUCAGCUACGGCGCCGUGAAUACGUUCCCAGGCCUUGUACACACCGCCCGU
RNAcentral lists this ribosomal RNA (508 nucleotides) under uncultured bacterium. RNAcentral describes it as "partial 16S ribosomal RNA". It matches the Rfam family "Bacterial small subunit ribosomal RNA", at positions 899 to 1397 of the family's 1533-position model. The record is from RNAcentral.